Molecule: ribosomal RNA, 377 nt
Filed under: uncultured bacterium
Lineage: Bacteria
Description: bacterial SSU rRNA
Rfam family: Bacterial small subunit ribosomal RNA
Source: RNAcentral
AUACGUAGGUGGCGAGCGUUAUCCGGAAUUACUGGGUGUAAAGGGCGCGCAGGCGGGGAUGCAAGUCAGAUGUGAAAUACCGGUGCUUAACACCGGGGCUGCAUCUGAAACUGUGUUUCUUGAGUGUCGGAGAGGGAAGCGGAAUUCCCAGUGUAGCGGUGAAAUGCGUAGAGAUUGGGAGGAGCACCAGUGGCGAAGGCGGCUUUCUGGACGACAACUGACGCUGAGGCGCGAAAGCGUGGGGAGCAAACAGGAUUAGAUACCCUGGUAGUCCACGCUGUAAACGAUGGAUACUAGGUGUAGGGGGUAUCGACUCCUUCUGUGCCGGAGUUAACACAAUAAGUAUCCCACCUGGGGAGUACGGCCGCAAGGCUGAA